UACGUAGGGGGCAAGCGUUAUCCGGAAUGAUUGGGCGUAAAGCGUCCGCAGGUGGCAAUGUAAGUCUGCUGUUAAAGAGUCUAGCUCAACUAGAUAAAAGCAGUGGAAACUACAUAGCUAGAGUACGUUCGGGGCAGAGGGAAUUCCUGGUGUAGCGGUGAAAUGCGUAGAUAUCCGGAGGAACACCGGUGGCGAAGGCGGCUUCCUGGACCGACACUGACGCUGAGGCGCGAAAGCGUGGGUAGCGAACAGG
RNAcentral lists this ribosomal RNA (253 nucleotides) under uncultured bacterium. RNAcentral's name for it is "partial 16S ribosomal RNA". It matches the Rfam family "Bacterial small subunit ribosomal RNA", at positions 524 to 776 of the family's 1533-position model. The record is from RNAcentral.